RNAcentral lists this ribosomal RNA (380 nucleotides) under uncultured bacterium. RNAcentral describes it as "bacterial SSU rRNA". It matches the Rfam family "Bacterial small subunit ribosomal RNA", at positions 30 to 412 of the family's 1533-position model. The record is from RNAcentral.
AUUGAACGCUGGCGGCAUGCCUUACACAUGCAAGUCGAACGGCAGCGGACCUUCGGGUGCCGGCGAGUGGCGAACGGGUGAGUAAUGCAUCGGAACGUGCCAUUGAGUGGGGGAUAACGUAGCGAAAGUUGCGCUAAUACCGCAUAUUCUGUGAGCAGGAAAGCAGGGGACCGCAAGGCCUUGCGCUCUUUGAGCGGCCGAUGUCAGAUUAGCUAGUUGGUGAGGUAACGGCUUACCAAGGCGACGAUCUGUAGCGGGUCUGAGAGGAUGAUCCGCCACACUGGAACUGAGACACGGUCCAGACUCCUACGGGAGGCAGCAGUGGGGAAUUUUGGACAAUGGGGGCAACCCUGAUCCAGCCAUGCCGCGUGAGUGAAGAA